AAGGGAGACCUAAUUCGGGUAUAAGACGAAAAAAUAGUAGUCGAAACCAAGAAUCAAUCCCAAAAGGUCGGAACGAGGUAUGUGGCUUUCAAACUAGGUUCUGGGUUCACAAAAGACCUGAAUCAGGAACAAGGGCUAUUAGCUCAGGUGGUUAGAGCGCACCCCUGAUAAGGGUGAGGUCCCUGGUUCGAGUCCAGGAUGGCCCACCUGCACAGGUGGUAAAAACAAGAGAAGCGAGGAAUCAGCACCUUAUCUUACUUACAUAGUAAGAGAGAAUGCUGGCUCUGAGUAAAGAGUCCAGAGGAACCUUGAAAACUGCAUAGAGCUAGGUGAAAAAGCCAAAAAAGAAGACCGCAA
RNAcentral lists this transfer RNA (357 nucleotides) under Microcystis aeruginosa MP08F2. RNAcentral's name for it is "partial 16S-23S ribosomal RNA intergenic spacer". The stretch from base 133 to 206 matches the Rfam family "tRNA". The record is from RNAcentral. Lineage: Bacteria; Bacillati; Cyanobacteriota; Cyanophyceae; Chroococcales; Microcystaceae.